GGGCCCGCACAAGCGGUGGAGCAUGUGGUUUAAUUCGAUGAUACGCGAGGAACCUUACCAGGGCUUAAAUGUAGUGGGACAGGUCUAGAGAUAGACCCUUCUUCGGACUCAUUACAAGGUGCUGCAUGGUUGUCGUCAGCUCGUGCCGUGAGGUGUCAGGUUAAGUCCUAUAACGAGCGCAACCCCUAUCGUUAGUUGCCAGCGAGUAAUGUCGGGAACUCUAACGAAACUGCCAGUGCAAACUGUGAGGAAGGUGGGGGAUGACGUCAAGUCCUCAUGGCCCUUACGGGUUGGGCUACACACGUGCUACAAUGGUAGUGACAAUGGGUUAAUCCCAAAAAUGCUAUCUCA
RNAcentral lists this ribosomal RNA (351 nucleotides) under uncultured bacterium. Its description in RNAcentral is "bacterial SSU rRNA". It matches the Rfam family "Bacterial small subunit ribosomal RNA", at positions 917 to 1290 of the family's 1533-position model. The record is from RNAcentral.